Molecule: long non-coding RNA, 450 nt
Organism: Clupea harengus (Atlantic herring)
Lineage: Eukaryota; Metazoa; Chordata; Actinopteri; Clupeiformes; Clupeidae
Exons: 2
Source: RefSeq, a predicted model, not a curated record
UCUUUGCACUAAGGAGGACUAAACAUAAAGAGGCUUGUAGGCAUUGGAGCCAUUAUUCUGGCUGUCAUUUUGACUUUGGGACUUUUGCUGAGCAUGUCCUGGGAGAGAAACAGCGAAUCCAAUGAAGACGACAUGAGCGCAGAAAAUAAAACACAAGUGUGUUAAGGCCAUAUUAGUGACAGCAAUAUUACAAUACAAUAUUUCCAUUCCUUACAUCAACUGCUCUCUCAAACCACUAGGCGGAUGCAGCUCCUGUUUAUGCCAAUAUCUCUGCCAUGGCUGUGACAUCUGACGUUGCCAAGAGAGAGAAUGUAGAUGAUGAUGAUGAUGCUGAUGUUGAGUAUGCCAGCAUCCACUUCAAUGCCUUCGACACACAGGAAGCACACUCGAUACGCAUCAGACCAAGCGCUGCCAGUCGGUGAGAUGUUCAUACGAUUAAAAAAACUAAAA